AGUGCAAUGUUAAAAGGGCAU
This 21-nucleotide non-coding RNA is filed under the name Xenopus tropicalis (tropical clawed frog). Lineage: Eukaryota; Metazoa; Chordata; Amphibia; Anura; Pipidae. The record is from RNAcentral. RNAcentral also lists the same sequence under 2 other names.